This 323-nucleotide RNase P RNA is filed under the name Thermovibrio ammonificans HB-1. Its description in RNAcentral is "RNA component of RNaseP". It matches the Rfam family "Bacterial RNase P class A". Rfam says of the family: Ribonuclease P (RNase P) is a ubiquitous endoribonuclease, found in archaea, bacteria and eukarya as well as chloroplasts and mitochondria. Lineage: Bacteria; Pseudomonadati; Aquificota; Aquificia; Desulfurobacteriales; Desulfurobacteriaceae. The record is from RNAcentral.
GGAGCAGGACGAGGGGUCGCCGGGGUUUAAACCCCGGAGGAAAGUCCGGGCUCCACAGGGCAGGGAGCCGGCGUUGAGCCGGGCAGGGGCAACCCUGCGGAAGGGCCACAGAGAACAGACCGCCACCUACAAGGUGGUAAGGGUGAAACGGUGGUGUAAGAGACCACCGCUCCAACCCGCAAGGGAAGGAGGCACGGCAACCCCCUCCCGGAGCAAGGCUAAAUAGGCUGGCGCUUGAGGGUGGCCCGCCCGAUGCCAGCGGGUAAGCCGCACAGAUAAAUGACCCCCUCAGAACAGAACCCGGCUUACGGCCUGCUCCGCGU